Molecule: microRNA, 24 nt
Filed under: Melibe leonina
Lineage: Eukaryota; Metazoa; Mollusca; Gastropoda; Nudibranchia; Dendronotidae
Description: mle-miR-1994a-5p
Source: miRBase by way of RNAcentral
GGGGAAGUCACUCUUGUCUACAUG